RNAcentral lists this long non-coding RNA (2961 nucleotides) under Gallus gallus (chicken). The record is from RNAcentral. Lineage: Eukaryota; Metazoa; Chordata; Aves; Galliformes; Phasianidae.
GCCAAGACUGAGGGAGUAGAAACGCUUUGCACAGGAGCUGAAGAAGACUGAUUAUUGUUAGAGAGAAAAGUAGAUGGAAAGCUUCCCAGUUGCUUCUGGAGAUCCAACAUAUACUUGUAACAUUGUGCAUAAUAAGUCAUCUGAGCUUCAACAAAGUCAUUGAGACAGCGGAGAUGAUGUGCAUGUGUGCUGCUGAUACCUUCCAGGAGAAGUCUGGUAAUCUCUGCUUGACGGUCAAAUUCACUUUGAGUAAUUCGUACUUCCUGUUCAGAUGCGGCUCGAGCUUCAGCAACUUUUGCCUUCUUCAAUCUGGUUUUCGCAGCAUCCAAAUCCAGUCUUUUAUUUUGUAAUAGUUUACGUUCUUUAGUAAUAGUUUUAUAGUCUCCUUCGAUAAAGUUUCUUAGGGGAGUGAGAAAGUUUAUAGCUGAAGUCUGAAUUAGUUCUCUGUCUGCUGUUCCGAUUUGCUUUUGUGUUUCUCCACAUUUAAUGAGUGCAUUUCCAUAUGCUGUUCCUGGGCCAAAUUCAUUACCAGCAUCGAUCAUAUACUGGCCUAAUAAUUCUGGAUUAUUCAUACGACUUGGUGCUUUCCGGUCCAGUUUCUCAUAGAAAAAUUCUUCUAUCCUAGCAUUUGGAUUUGGCUGCAAUAGCACUUCUGUUUGCUUCAUUAUUUUCUCUGUCCACUGCUUAGUGCAUUCUGCUUUGCUGAGAAGGUUCUCCAGGUGAGCAUCCAGUUCAGUCUUCUCUGCUUGACCAAGCUUUUCUUCUGUGAACUGCACGGCGCGGCUGAGAAAAGUGCCCGCGUCGGCCGCCAGCUUCUUCAUGUUAAAGUCCAUGAUGUUCAUCUUCGGCGGGGGCGGGAGGGCGCUGACUCAGCCCGGACACCCGCAGCGGCGGCCGCCGCUCCGGCCCGUCCCUGCGCGGAUCCGCCGGGGGGCGGUGCCGGCGCCCGACGCAGCCACCGAUUGGCCGCGGCCGCGGCGUCAGGCGCAGGGCCCGGAUCGGCAGCCGAAGUGACGGCGGCGGUCGCCUCGCGCCGCCGUGAGGGAGGCGCCGGGCCGCUGCGCGCGGCUCUUCCCGCCGCUGGAGGCGCGCGCCUGAGGGCGAGCUGUGAGCGCCGUUACCGCGCGCUGCGUGCGCCUUCCGGGAGUCGCUGCCGCCCACUCGUUCCGUUUCUUGAGCCCGGGGCUUUGUAAAUCAAAUCGUGCUCGGCUUCAUGAAAAAAGUGAGGCGGGUGGAGCGUGACAAUGGGAAGUGGCCAAGAAAUUGUGAGCAGCCGAUCAGAACGCGCUGCUAGUUCAACAGUCUUGUUUGGAUAACCACGUACAGACACAGCUGCAAGUAGCACUAGGUGCCACGGCAUUCAUUGAAAGUACCUUCGGUAUCGUAGCAUGGUGUCGGUGAGCAAGCAACUAGUCUCUAGUUUUAAUAAUUUUCACUGUUUUAACAUCCCUCGUCAUGGUUUUUGAACGCCUGAGAAGGGAGAGCUUUGAUGUGGGCUGUUAGGAAGCAGAUUUACAAUGCGUUGUCUUGUAGCAAUGAGUUAAUAUUGCCAACUUGAAAGCGAUCCCGGUCACUCAGUCAGGUAACAUAACCCACACAGCAAGUAACCCUGGGCUGUGUUUGAUAAGGCUGGAGGAAAUCCUAAGGCAUGACGGCGGGAAGUGAGCUCCAGAACAAGGAAAUAACUGUAAGGAUCAGCACAAUCUUUCUUGUGUGCUGGUCGGAUUCCAGGAACUAAAACCAAAACAGCCCAAGCUGUGCGAAGCUCCCAUUGUGCCGCGGUAUUGUUAAGGAGAGGGCCUGAAAGCUGCUGUGUGUGCCUUAGCCCUUCUUGGGUCACUUAGAUAACAGACGCGUACAUGUGUAACUGUUAAUACAUAAAAACUUUGUGGCAAGCAUGUUUCCAAGUUCUAGUAGCAUAAUAAGCUCUAGUGAGUGUCUGUUCUUCAAAGAGAUAAUGCAGCAUUACAGAUUUUAAAUUUGGAGACACAAAGGCAGUUAUUGAAUUGCAGAUUUUUCGUUGGUGUUGUCAGCAGUUCCAGUGGUGGAGUUCCACGAGGUGCCAAACAGCUGAGAGCAGCAGUGCCCGAUGCUGAGGCAGAAGCACCACCUCAGGGAGAUGUAGCCCAGCAAAGCCUAGGCUGAGCAGUGUGUAUAGUCUGGAAUUCACAACAGCUGGCAUGGCUCAGCUCAGACCAGAACAAAAUGCUGUGGGAUCUUGAACCUUGAACCCCACAGCUGCCCAUGAACCUCACCUAUCAGAGAGGAAAUUGUUGUCUUGGAACUCAGCUCUUUCCUUCUGAAAAUGCUCUCCUUUUGAGCAUUACUUGGAUGGAAGUGGAAGAAGAGUCCCAUCCUUUAAGCUUCCGUAGAUUCUUCCGUAGAUUUCAUUCUGGAAAGAUUUGAAUUGUCUGCUUUUGGUUAUUUCUUUUCUCAAGAACCCUAAAGAUGACAGCUCCAAUUCUCAGGAAAAUGAUUUAUUAAAACAGUACUUCCACCCUAACACAUGGGCUGUUUGACAUAUGUGGGGCAUUGGAUGUUACUUUCAGUUCUUACUAUUGACAUCCUUCCUCUUUUAUCAAAUAUACAAGCAGUCAAUGUGAGUGAGAGGGAGAAAAUAACUCAUCAGGCUAAGGGUUGCCACACUUACCAAAGAGGAAGAUCUGUUCUAUUGCAUGUUUAUAUAUUUCAUAUAUAGCAACCCUGGUAUGGAUAUGUUUUUCCCCAUUUUAACUCACGAUAGUCUAAUGUAUGACUAAAAUUGGUUAUUGGAUUGCAAUCUGGAAUCCUGACUUCCAUAGGCUUUUCCCACUCCCAAAGCACUACAGAGUUACUCCCUUUCUUGAAAUUCUCUACACUCUGAAGGCCUAUAGUCUAGUGUUCAGGACAAACUGUUUAAACCAACAUACCUGGUUCAGACAAGGAGGGCCAUACCUUGUGUGCAGACAUUAUAAGAGCUAG